UACGUAGGGUGCAAGCGUUUAUCCGGAAUUAUUGGGCGUAAAGAGCUCGUAGGCGGUUUGUCGCGUCUGCUGUGAAAACCCGAGGCUCAACCUCGGGCCUGCAGUGGGUACGGGCAGACUAGAGUGCGGUAGGGGAGAUUGGAAUUCCUGGUGUAGCGGUGGAAUGCGCAGAUAUCAGGAGGAACACCGAUGGCGAAGGCAGAUCUCUGGGCCGUAACUGACGCUGAGGAGCGAAAGCGUGGGGAGCGAACAGG
Molecule: ribosomal RNA, 254 nt
Filed under: uncultured bacterium
Lineage: Bacteria
Description: partial 16S ribosomal RNA
Rfam family: Bacterial small subunit ribosomal RNA
Source: RNAcentral